GGACAGAACUGAGGACAUAACGCCUGAAGAAGAGAAACCCCAGGAACCCUUGAUAAUCUGAAAGCGACAAGCACACAAAAACAACAACAGCAAAAAAGUCCCACAAAAACCUAUAUGUGGUGAGGUAAUAAGUGCCAGUAACAUGACAUCAUGGAGAAGAUUCAUUCAUUCACUAAGUGUAUAGGCUGCCUACCCUCCACUCACAGAGAAAUAGAGAGUGAAACUAGAGGACUUCAAAGAGCUUUUGUAGUUCUGAGCAGCGAUGAUUCUACACUUUAAAAAAUCUGAGUGCUAAGCCAAAACUAAGUGAAUUGCCACUUUCUUGUAACACAAAUGUCUUAUAUGAUUUACAGAAAAACUAGUGAUUCAGAACAAGUUUUAUCCAAGCCCAUGGAUACACUCUGAGUCGAAUUUAUGGCUCAUGACUGGCAAUAUUAAUGGAAGCACUAAUAAAAGUUAUGAUAUGUAGCAAUAAAACAUCGAAGCAUGGAAUCAUAAAUCAUAUUCCAACAGGGUAAGGCAGGCCAUUUUUCCUUUGUGAUUUAAUACAGAGUAGAUUUUACACCAACCUUAGCUUUCCACAAGAGACCUAUAAACCUCAGCAUAGGCUAAAAACUGAGGCUAAACUAUGCUGUUUUAAAGAUAAAAAUGCCAAUGAACAUACAGAUACGAAAAAAAUCUGACAUUCUAGACUUACCAGUACAAAGUGGAAAUUGUUUAGUUACCACACUUGAUAGCAUAAGACCACAGCAGGUUGCUCAUUGGGUCCUUCUAAUUUAAGAUUCAAUAGGUUGACUUUCUCCCUUUCAGCUUUACCAGGAUUCUAGACUAAAGUCUGAUGAGGAAAUAAAAACUUAUAAUACUU
Molecule: long non-coding RNA, 865 nt
Organism: Myotis davidii
Lineage: Eukaryota; Metazoa; Chordata; Mammalia; Chiroptera; Vespertilionidae
Exons: 2
Source: RefSeq, a predicted model, not a curated record